ACUGUUCUCAGAGACGCACCACUGGUUCUUGCGUCUGCACUGGUGCGGCAACACUCGACCGGGCAUCCUAGUACAACGUCAACUGUGCGGCCCUUUCCCAACCUCUUCGCUAAAGACCCUCGCCGGGCCUUUUGCAGCGCUCGGGAGCGGUACGCAUGCGGAAAUGACUUAUGGCCAGCAGCGAGAACGGCUUCCCCUUCGACGGUGUCUUUGACCUGUUCAAGAUCGGCAUUGGACACCAUUGAGCUCACACACCGUCGUGCCCAUGCGCGCCGCUGGCCGGUU
Molecule: unclassified non-coding RNA, 285 nt
Filed under: plant metagenome
Description: partial contains 5.8S ribosomal RNA, internal transcribed spacer 2, and large subunit ribosomal RNA
Source: RNAcentral